AAUCAACGCUGGCGGCGCGCUUAACACAUGCAAGUCGAACGAGAAAGGGGAGCAAUCCCUGAGUAAAGUGGCGUACGGGUGAGUAACACGUGGAUAAUCUGCCCUUUAGUGGGGAAUACCGUUGGGAAACCGACGACAAUACCGCAUAAUCCCGAGAGGGGAAAGCAGCAAUGCGCUGAAGGAGGAGUCCGCGGCCGAUUAGCUAGUUGGUAGGGUAAAAGCCUACCAAGGCUGUGAUCGGUAGCCGGCCUGAGAGGGCACACGGCCACACUGGCACUGAAACACGGGCCAGACUCCUACGGGAGGCAGCAGUGGGGAAUCUUGCACAAUGGGGGAAACCCUGAUGCAGCGACGCCGCGUGAGCGAUGAAGCCCUUCGGGGUGUAAAGCUCUUUCGGCAGGGACGAUUAUGACGGUACCUGCAGAAGCAGCUGCGGCUAACUACGUGCCAGCAGCCGCGGUAAUACGUAGGCAGCAAGCGUUGUUCGGAGUUACUGGGCGUAAAGGGUGCGUAGGCGGUCCUAUAAGUAUGGUGUGAAAUCUCCCGGCUCAACUGGGAGGGUGCGCUAUAGACUGUGGGACUAGAGUGUGGGAGAGGAAAGUGGAAUUCCUGGUGUAGCGGUGAAAUGCGUAGAUAUCAGGAGGAACACCGGCGGUGUAAACGGCUUUCUGGACCAUAACUGACGCUGAGGCACGAAAGCGUGGGUAGCAAACAGGAUUAGAUACCCUGGUAGUCCACGCCCUAAACGAUGCAUACUUGGUGUGGGCCAUUCAGUUGGUCCGUGCCGGAGCUAACGCGUUAAGUAUGCCGCCUGGGGAGUACAGUCGCAAGGCUGA
This 836-nucleotide ribosomal RNA is filed under the name uncultured bacterium. Its description in RNAcentral is "bacterial SSU rRNA". It matches the Rfam family "Bacterial small subunit ribosomal RNA", at positions 28 to 897 of the family's 1533-position model. The record is from RNAcentral.